RNAcentral lists this ribosomal RNA (1083 nucleotides) under Arthrobacter sp. Its description in RNAcentral is "bacterial SSU rRNA". It matches the Rfam family "Bacterial small subunit ribosomal RNA", at positions 53 to 1148 of the family's 1533-position model. Lineage: Bacteria; Bacillati; Actinomycetota; Actinomycetes; Micrococcales; Micrococcaceae. The record is from RNAcentral.
ACAUGCAAGUCGAACGAUGAUCCCAGCUUGCUGGGGGAUUAGUGGCGAACGGGUGAGUAACACGUGAGUAACCUGCCCUUAACUCUGGGAUAAGCCUGGGAAACUGGGUCUAAUACCGGAUAUGACUCCUCAUCGCAUGGUGGGGGGUGGAAAGCUUUAUUGUGGUUUUGGAUGGACUCGCGGCCUAUCAGCUUGUUGGUGAGGUAAUGGCUCACCAAGGCGACGACGGGUAGCCGGCCUGAGAGGGUGACCGGCCACACUGGGACUGAGACACGGCCCAGACUCCUACGGGAGGCAGCAGUGGGGAAUAUUGCACAAUGGGCGAAAGCCUGAUGCAGCGACGCCGCGUGAGGGAUGACGGCCUUCGGGUUGUAAACCUCUUUCAGUAGGGAAGAAGCGAAAGUGACGGUACCUGCAGAAGAAGCGCCGGCUAACUACGUGCCAGCAGCCGCGGUAAUACGUAGGGCGCAAGCGUUAUCCGGAAUUAUUGGGCGUAAAGAGCUCGUAGGCGGUUUGUCGCGUCUGCCGUGAAAGUCCGGGGCUCAACUCCGGAUCUGCGGUGGGUACGGGCAGACUAGAGUGAUGUAGGGGAGACUGGAAUUCCUGGUGUAGCGGUGAAAUGCGCAGAUAUCAGGAGGAACACCGAUGGCGAAGGCAGGUCUCUGGGCAUUAACUGACGCUGAGGAGCGAAAGCAUGGGGAGCGAACAGGAUUAGAUACCCUGGUAGUCCAUGCCGUAAACGUUGGGCACUAGGUGUGGGGGACAUUCCACGUUUUCCGCGCCGUAGCUAACGCAUUAAGUGCCCCGCCUGGGGAGUACGGCCGCAAGGCUAAAACUCAAAGGAAUUGACGGGGGCCCGCACAAGCGGCGGAGCAUGCGGAUUAAUUCGAUGCAACGCGAAGAACCUUACCAAGGCUUGACAUGAACCGGAAAGACCUGGAAACAGGUCCCCCGCUUGCGGUCGGUUUACAGGUGGUGCAUGGUUGUCGUCAGCUCGUGUCGUGAGAUGUUGGGUUAAGUCCCGCAACGAGCGCAACCCUCGUUCUAUGUUGCCAGCGCGUGAUGGCGGGGACUCAUAGGAGA